This 237-nucleotide long non-coding RNA is filed under the name Elaeis guineensis (African oil palm). Its description in RNAcentral is "long non-coding RNA (EGUI_LNC075575)". The record is from RNAcentral. Lineage: Eukaryota; Viridiplantae; Streptophyta; Magnoliopsida; Arecales; Arecaceae.
CACUCAAGUAUCAAGUUUUAAACUCAAUUCAUAUUUUAGAUAUGAUCUAAAUAUAAUAUAGAUAAGAUCUAUGUUUGCUGAAUUUUAGAUUUUAGAUUCACAUACAUGCAUAUUAGUUCAUGUCAUAGAUCCUAUAUGGUAGUUUUAGAUUUGAUCUAUGCAUAUAUUGUAGAUUAAAUUAUUUAAUCUAUGUAUGUUUCACUAUAAAAUUUUAAAAAUGCAUAUACAAAAUCAUCA